This 460-nucleotide ribosomal RNA is filed under the name uncultured bacterium. Its description in RNAcentral is "partial 16S ribosomal RNA". It matches the Rfam family "Bacterial small subunit ribosomal RNA", at positions 338 to 795 of the family's 1533-position model. The record is from RNAcentral.
CCUACGGGCGGCAGCAGUGAGGAAUAUUGGUCAAUGGACGAGAGUCUGAACCAGCCAAGUAGCGUGAAGGAUGACUGCCCUAUGGGUUGUAAACUUCUUUUAUAUGGGAAUAAAAUGUUACACGUGUGGGAUUUUGUAUGUACCAUAUGAAUAAGGAUCGGCUAACUCCGUGCCAGCAGCCGCGGUAAUACGGAGGAUCCGAGCGUUAUCCGGAUUUAUUGGGUUUAAAGGGAGCGUAGGUGGAUUGUUAAGUCAGUUGUGAAAGUUUGCGGCUCAACCGUAAAAGUGCAGUUGAAACUGGCAGUCUUGAGUACAGUAGAGGUAGGCGGAAUUCGUGGUGUAGCGGUGAAAUGCUUAGAUAUCACGAAGAACUCCGAUUGCGAAGGCAGUUCACUGGACUGCAACUGACACUGAGGCUCGAAAGUGUGGGUAUCAAACAGGAUUAGAUACCCUUGUAGUC